GAGCACGUAGGUGGGUUUGUAAGUCAGAUGUGAAAGCCUUCUGUUCAACGGAAGAAUUGCAUCUGAAACUACAAGUCUUGAGUGUAGGAGGGGAGAAUGGAACUUCUGGUGGAGCGGUGAAAUGCGUAGAUAUCAGAAGGAACGCCGGCGGCGAAAGCGAUUCUCUGGCCUAUUACUGACACUCAGUGUGCGAAAGCUAGGGGAGCAAACGGGAUUAGAUACCCCGGUAGUCCUAGCCGUAAACGAUGGGCACUAAGUAGAGGGAAUUACCGAUGUUCUCUCUGCCGUAGCUAACGCAUUAAGUGCCCCGCCUGGGGAGUACGGCCGCAAGGCUAAAACUCAAAAGAAUUGACGGGGGCUCGCACAAGCGGUGGGGCAUGUGGCUUAAUUCGAUGCAACGCGAAAAACCUUACCGGGGCUUGACAUGGUAGAAGUAGGAACCCGAAAGGGUAACGAACGGUAUCCAGUCCGUAGCUAUCACAGGUGUUGCAUGGCUGUCGUCAGCUCGUGUCGUGAGACGUUGGGUUAAGUCCCCUAACGAGCGAAACCCUUGUUUUUAGUUACCAGCGGGUUGUGCCGGGUACUCUAGAAAGACUGCCGUCGUCAAGACGGAGGAAGGUGGGGAUGACGUCAAGUCAUCAUGGCCCUUAUGCCCCGAGCUGCACACGUGCUACAAUGGUCGGUACAAACGGAUGCGAAGCCGAGAGGUGAAGCGAAUCC
Molecule: ribosomal RNA, 720 nt
Filed under: uncultured anaerobic ammonium-oxidizing bacterium
Lineage: Bacteria
Description: bacterial SSU rRNA
Rfam family: Bacterial small subunit ribosomal RNA
Source: RNAcentral